Hyla sarda is the source of this 628-nucleotide long non-coding RNA. RefSeq lists it as uncharacterized. The transcript has 4 exons. NCBI's taxonomy places the organism in Eukaryota, Metazoa, Chordata, Amphibia, Anura, Hylidae. The record is from RefSeq and is a predicted model, not a curated record.
CAUUUACUCAGCCGAGCAAAUGCCGGCUGAGUAAACAAGGGGGCUGUUAAAUAUUCAACUGGGGGAGUGACCGAAUCGCAUUUGUGGGGCCGGCUAAAUGCGGGGAGGAACAAAGGAAUGAUGACGUUUCGUUUCAAAGAUGGCCGCGGAAGGCCAGAUAGUGCGGAACGAAAGUCCUCAUUCACUGGGUGAGGCUGCACUUCCGGUUUGGCUAGAAAACAUGGAUUCAUUCAUGGAACGAUACUGAGAGUCAUGCGUGAGACUGCUCCCUGCAUUUCUGACCAUUACUGCCCGCUCCCACUGAAUUUAUGACCGUUACUACCUGCUUCCGCAACAUGAAUGUCUAAUCCCUCCUGGUCCCGCAACAUGGGUGUUUAUUUGUGAUGAUCACUUCCUCCAAUCACCCUGUCGUACAUGACAACCCUGGAAUGGAGCAUCAUCACAGCCUAGGCUGCUGCAGCUGAAGGUGUAGGUAGGAUUUCUCCUUCUUACUGGACCACUUCUCAAUAUACAGGAGCGGGGCAGCAGAGGAUAUGUGAUUGCGGAGGACUAUGUCUGAUUCGGUGGAUUGCAACGAUGACCAGCGUUUUGUUAAUUGCAAUAAAAGGGUUAAAAAAGGCUGUCAGGG